Molecule: ribosomal RNA, 549 nt
Filed under: uncultured Glomus
Lineage: Eukaryota; Fungi; Glomeromycota; Glomeromycetes; Glomerales; Glomeraceae
Description: SSU rRNA
Rfam family: Eukaryotic small subunit ribosomal RNA
Source: RNAcentral
UUGGAGGGCAAGUCUGGUGCCAGCAGCCGCGGUAAUUCCAGCUCCAAUAGCGUAUAUUAAAGUUGUUGCAGUUAAAAAGCUCGUAGUUGAAUUUCGGGGUUAGUAGGUUGGUCGUGCCUCAGGUAUGUACUGAUCUCACUGAUUCCUCCUUCCUGAUGAACCGUAAUGCCAUUAAUUUGGUGUUGCGGGGAAUCUGGACUGUUACUUUGAAAAAAUUAGAGUGUUUAAAGCAGGCUAACGCUUGAAUACAUUAGCAUGGAAUAAUGAAAUAGGACGUUCGAUCCUAUUUUGUUGGUUUCUAGGAUUGACGUAAUGAUUAAUAGGGAUAGUUGGGGGCAUUAGUAUUCAAUUGUCAGAGGUGAAAUUCUUGGAUUUAUUGAAGACUAACUACUGCGAAAGCAUUUGCCAAGGAUGUUUUCAUUAAUCAAGAACGAAAGUUAGGGGAUCGAAGACGAUCAGAUACCGUCGUAGUCUUAACCAUAAACUAUGCCGACUAGGGAUCGGAUGAUGUUAAUUUUUUAAUGACUCAUUCGGCGCCUUACGGGAAAC